This is a long non-coding RNA of Ictalurus punctatus (channel catfish), 305 nucleotides long. The record is from Ensembl. Lineage: Eukaryota; Metazoa; Chordata; Actinopteri; Siluriformes; Ictaluridae.
CAGAGAGUUGAAUGGAUGGAUGGAUGGACAGACAGACAGGUGAAUAGAUGGAUGGAUGGAUGGAUGGAUGGAUAGAUGGAUGGACAGACAGGUGAAUAGAUGGAUGGAUGGAUGGAGGGAUAGAUGGAUGGACAGACAGGUGAAUAGAUGGAUGGAUGGACGGAUGGAUAGAUGGAUGGACAGACAGGUGAGUAGAUGGAUGGAUGGAUGGAUGGACAGACAGGUGAAUAGAUAGAUGGAUGGAUGGACAGACAGGUGAAUAGAUAGAUGUAUGGAUUUAUAGAUGGAUGGACAGACAGGUGAAU